UCGGGAAUUUUGGGCAAUGGGCGAAAGCCUGACCCAGCAACGCCGCGUGAAGGAUGAAGUAUUUCGGUAUAUAAACUUCGAAAGAAUAGGAAGAAUAAAUUACGGUACUAUUUAUAAGGUCCGGCUAACUACGUGCCAGCAGCCGCGGUAAUACGUAGGGACCAAGCGUUGUUCGGAUUUACUGGGCGUAAAGGGCGCGUAGGCGGCAAUUCAAGUCAUCUGUGAAAUCUCCGGGCUUAACUCGGAACGGUCAGAUGAUACUGCUUUGCUAGAGUGCAGAAGGGGCAAUCGGAAUUCUUGGUGUAGCGGUGAAAUGCGUAGAUAUCAAGAGGAACACCUGAGGUGAAGACGGGUUGCUGGGCUGACACUGACGCUGAGGCGCGAAAGCCAGGGGAGCAAACGGGAUUAGAUACCCACGUAGUCCCUGAGCGGGCUGGCAAGGCGCAU
This 447-nucleotide ribosomal RNA is filed under the name uncultured bacterium. Its description in RNAcentral is "bacterial SSU rRNA". It matches the Rfam family "Bacterial small subunit ribosomal RNA", at positions 355 to 825 of the family's 1533-position model. The record is from RNAcentral.